UGCAGUCGACGGCAGCACAGAAGAGCUUGCUCUUUGGGUGGCGAGUGGCGGACGGGUGAGUAAUGUCUGGGAAACUGCCCGAUGGAGGGGGAUAACUACUGGAAACGGUAGCUAAUACCGCAUAACGUCGCAAGACCAAAGUGGGGGACCUUCGGGCCUCACACCAUCGGAUGUGCCCAGAUGGGAUUAGCUAGUAGGUGGGGUAAUGGCUCACCUAGGCGACGAUCCCUAGCUGGUCUGAGAGGAUGACCAGCCACACUGGAACUGAGACACGGUCCAGACUCCUACGGGAGGCAGCAGUGGGGAAUAUUGCACAAUGGGCGCAAGCCUGAUGCAGCCAUGCCGCGUGUAUGAAGAAGGCCUUCGGGUUGUAAAGUACUUUCAGCGGGGAGGAAGGCGGUGAGGUUAAUAACCUUGCCGAUUGACGUUACCCGCAGAAGAAGCACCGGCUAACUCCGUGCCAGCAGCCGCGGUAAUACGGAGGGUGCAAGCGUUAAUCGGAAUUACUGGGCGUAAAGCGCACGCAGGCGGUCUGUUAAGUCAGAUGUGAAAUCCCCGGGCUUAACCUGGGAACUGCAUUUGAAACUGGCAGGCUUGAGUCUCGUAGAGGGGGGUAGAAUUCCAGGUGUAGCGGUGAAAUGCGUAGAGAUCUGGAGGAAUACCGGUGGCGAAAGGCGGCCCCCUGGACGAAGACUGACGCUCAGUGC
This 707-nucleotide ribosomal RNA is filed under the name Pantoea dispersa. RNAcentral describes it as "bacterial SSU rRNA". It matches the Rfam family "Bacterial small subunit ribosomal RNA", at positions 56 to 754 of the family's 1533-position model. Lineage: Bacteria; Pseudomonadati; Pseudomonadota; Gammaproteobacteria; Enterobacterales; Erwiniaceae. The record is from RNAcentral.